CGAACGGGUGAGUAACACGUAGGGAACCUGCCCGCGCACCGGGAAUACGCUCUGGAAACGGAGAACAAAUCCCGAUGUACAGGAAGGAGGCAUCUUCUUUCUGUGAAACAUCCUCUAGGGGAUGGGGCGCGGAUGGACCUGCGGUGCAUUAGUUUGUUGGCGGGGUAAAGGCCCACCAAGACGAUGAUGCAUAGCCGGCCUGAGAGGGCGGACGGCCACAUUGGGACUGAGACACGGCCCAGACUCCUACGGGAGGCAGCAG
RNAcentral lists this ribosomal RNA (262 nucleotides) under uncultured bacterium. RNAcentral describes it as "partial 16S ribosomal RNA". It matches the Rfam family "Bacterial small subunit ribosomal RNA", at positions 99 to 354 of the family's 1533-position model. The record is from RNAcentral.